AAAAAUUGCUGAGGGAACAGAGUCUUGCAUCCAUGUUAUAAGUAGUGAAGGGAAUGCUGCUACAAAGAGCACAGAGAAAAGUUCAAAGAAGGUUAGGUUUGCUAUGAAGAACAACCUGAUAUGGAAACCAAACAGUCCAAUGCCUCCACAAAACUUACGGUUGCCACCCACUCUUACUCCCCGAGGUAGUGCUUUGAAGAAGGGGGUGCCUCCUGGCCCCAUAAGAGAGAUGCCUCUCUCCAAGAAGAUGAAACAGAAAAAGAAAGGCCGCAAGAUACUAAGGACAGUCUCCCCUGCCAUGAAGCGACUGAAAAAGAUGAAAGCUGUGUCUACUUAGUAAAGUUUAAGUUGCAGGUGCUUGUUCGUCAACUAUUUUUUUUUAAACUCUGUUAUUUGAGAUUUUCUAAAUUCAUUUCUGGAACUUCACAUUUCUUCUGCUUAGGAUUUUUGGUAGCCUUACCUUGGAUUAAACUCUAAAGUUUCUUUGAAGAAAU
Molecule: unclassified non-coding RNA, 494 nt
Filed under: Hevea brasiliensis (rubber tree)
Lineage: Eukaryota; Viridiplantae; Streptophyta; Magnoliopsida; Malpighiales; Euphorbiaceae
Source: RNAcentral